CUUAAUGCGUUGCAGUGCAUAGUGGAGACACGGUGGCUUCCCGGCGCGCUUCCGUAGCGGGGGCGACGGGUAUUCUGCGAGGUUCGUUGAUCUCGACGAAGGCUUCGGGCAGGGGGUCCCAACCUGGGGUUACUUUCUGGGGGCCUCGGAGCAAUAUGAAAAUUUUGGCUUCGAAUUAAACUGAAUUUGAUCUCACCUACAGUGCCUAUAUUAAUAAAAUGGAAUCUUUCUACGGUGCUCUUGUCCUAUAGCUACUAACACCAUUACGCUUUUCAUAACAAGUAUUAACUGAAUCUGCAAAGAUGACAGACACUGAACGCGGCCACGAAGAUUAUUACAGAUUUGUCGGGUCCACAGAAUGAAAUAGGUUGGGAACCACAGGCUUAGAGGGUCUUGAAGACACGCCCGUGCACCGCCCAUGCCCCCACCGGCGCGACUCUCCGCGUGGCAACGCCCUCCGCAUAGUUAUCAUGCGGUACCUCGGGCUGGAAAGUUGCAUGACUGCAUGUGUGAGGGUUUGCCGUAACUCUGAUAGCCUUGGAACUGCAUGGCGUAGAUGGUCCCCGCGUCAGGCCAAUCGCUGCCCGCGUCAGGUGGCAAUUUCGACGGCGGUGACAUCGAUGGCGCCACGGCAGUCCCGAGAGCGAGAAGCGGCGGAGGGGCGGCUGUGGAGGCUGUAGCGGCGUCGGUGGAAGGCGGUGGUGGAGUGAGUCACGGCGGCGAAGGUGGAGUACUCCCGCGAGACGCGGCUCCGGGUGCUGGCCGUGGCAGGCGGGCUGAGGCAGCCAGUCUGCGGCGGGGCGACCCGGGGAGCAGACGGAUCGUCGACGGCACAGCGAGUGAGCGAGAGUGAGCGAGGGAGCGAACCAGUAGGAACGAAGGACGAGAGUGUGCAAGCGGCGAUCGACCGAAGCUCCUUAGUGAACAAUGCGGUAGAGAACAAUUUUGAAGCGUUUUGUGCAGGAUCCCCAGGCCGAGGAGGACGACGCCAGCCGGAGGAGGACAGAGAGAACAAGCCUCGAGGAAAAUCGAUCACGAGAGGGUUGUGUGCAUUGCGUGGCCUUUGCUGGUUGCUGGAUCGCCAACGCCAUACACGGUCGUGCAGGCCCAUGUGUCACAUCCCGACGCCCACCUAGAGACACUCGGCCUCGUCGUGGGCGCAGGCGGCGUACUCUCUCCACAGUGUUGUAAGUAAGGCUUACUCUCGUCGGUGUCACGCCCUUUGCCUU
Molecule: non-coding RNA, 1229 nt
Organism: Penaeus vannamei (Pacific white shrimp)
Lineage: Eukaryota; Metazoa; Arthropoda; Malacostraca; Decapoda; Penaeidae
Source: RefSeq, a predicted model, not a curated record